CAGCAAGUGAAUGAGAGAAGGGGGAGGAGUGUAGUGGUGUGGUGUUGAUCAGUUUGCAAGUGAAGCAAGUUGAUCAGUGUGUGAGUGAAGCACGGAGUGCGUGCAUUGUGAAGCAUGAUUAGUAUACAGCAGUAGUGGCUGUGUGCUAAUUGAGUGAUUAGUGUACAGCGUGUGGCUGUGUUAGUGGAGAUAGCUGCGUGAGUGUUCUUGGCCGGGUUGUGCGGCUGAGACGCAGUUUAGUGCGUGUGUGUUUGUGCUGUGUUAAAAUCAGUGUAACCAAUGUGUUGAACUGUGGUGAAUUUUAGUGCAAAAGAGGGUGCUGGUGUGCAGUGCCACAAAAGUAGUCUGUGUGUUCCUCACCUGUGAGUGGCUGGUGUGAUCUUGGGAGGUGCUAGAGGCUAACAGUUUCUCAUUUUCUUUUCCAUGGUUAUUGAAUUUCAAUUGCAAAUGGCAAUAUUCUGAUUGAGAUACUUGCAGGAUGAUGAAGAGAACGAAGAAGAAGGUGGCCUGAGCAAGUCUGGCAAGGAAUUAAAAAAGCUGCUUGGGCGCGCUGCUGGACUAAAUGAUUCAGAUGCUGACGAGGAUGAAGAAGAAGAAGAUGUACUGAUUCAUUCUCUUAAAAUAGUAACAUUUUAAUUAUGCACUAAGGCUAUUUUUUAAUGGAAAUAUAAGGAGUUAUCUUUUCUUCAUCCAGCAGGAAGACGAGUCAUCUCCAGUGCUUGCUCCAAAACAGAAGGAUCAAGUUAAGGAUGAACCUGUAGAUAACAGCCCAGCUAAACAAACACCAUCAGGACAUGCUCGCAGCACACCUCCUGCUUCCAAAUUCAAGCAAAAGAGAAAAUCAGGUGCUGAUGAUACAAAAACUUCUGGUGGUGCAGCUUCAAAGAAAGCAAAGGUGGAAUCGGUUAGUAAUCUAUGCUUACUUUAAAUGUGUAAAAAAGAAGAAAUGGCGAACUUGCAGUUUUUACACAAGUAUGCGCUAUUUGUUUUUUUACGUAUGUAAAUAAUAAUUCCUUUUUGUAUAGGAUACGAAAGCAUCGGGCAUUAAAGAGGAAGCACCAGCUUCGGCAAAACCUACAUCAAAGACCUCUGCUUCAUCAAAAAGUGGGACAAAUGUGUCACCUGUCACAGAGGAUGAAAUCAGGAGUGUUCUUCUU
Molecule: long non-coding RNA, 1157 nt
Filed under: Setaria viridis
Lineage: Eukaryota; Viridiplantae; Streptophyta; Magnoliopsida; Poales; Poaceae
Description: long non-coding RNA (SVIR_LNC010698)
Source: RNAcentral